AUUCAUGGAAGGGUGCGUCACUAACUGCCAUAAAACGGGUAGUGUACAUCAAGUUGUCAUCCCGCUGUCACAGUUCGCAUCCAUCAGUCGUACAAAAUGCGUUACUUCUUAAUAUUCAUCUGUUUAGUUUUGGUCUUCGCCUCUAUUGUAGAGGCAAAAGAUAUCGUCACUGUGGGUGGAAAUCCAUGUACUUGGGGCCCGUCUUUCUGGUGCCACAGUUAUGAAAACGCAGAAAAAUGUGGAGUAGAGGCCAUCAAGUACUGCGAGAGCGUCAACUGGAGUGUCGAAUAAGACGACACUUUUCCAGCAGAGAAAAACGAGUUUUAUUAUUUCAUUUGUUAUCUUUAUUUGUUAUGUCCUUAUAUGGAAGAUAGUGGGCAAUUAUUAGCUUCGUACCAAAUUUAGAGAAAGUGAAACAUGUUGCCUAUAUUGAACUGGAAACGCGCUACACGCACCUUGUUGUUAUUCCAUUAUUUGCUUUAUCUUGGUCAUUAAGUUUUACAGACUGUUGAUUUCAUUCGAACUGCUCGUUGUACUUCCUCUCUUAAAACCCUAAAAAAAAUCCCUCAUUUCUUAGCGUCCACGAGCCGAUAUCUCGCCUCUGUCUCUGUAAACAUGUUGCUUGCUGAAUCAGUAGGAAUGCCCAGCUAAUAUAUAUUCAUAGUUUUUAUUUGAA
This is a long non-coding RNA of Daphnia carinata, 676 nucleotides long. RefSeq lists it as uncharacterized. NCBI's taxonomy places the organism in Eukaryota, Metazoa, Arthropoda, Branchiopoda, Diplostraca, Daphniidae. The transcript is spliced from 3 exons. The record is from RefSeq and is a predicted model, not a curated record.